AGUGAACGCUGGCGGUAGGCCUAACACAUGCAAGUCGAACGGCAGCACAGGAGAGCUUGCUCUCUGGGUGGCGAGUGGCAGACGGGUGAGGAAUACAUCGGAAUCUACUCUGUCGUGGGGGAUAACGUAGGGAAACUUACGCUAAUACCGCAUACGACCUACGGGUGAAAGCAGGGGACCUUCGGGCCUUGCGCGAUUGAAUGAGCCGAUGUCGGAUUAGCUAGUUGGCGGGGCAAAGGCCCACCAAGGCGACGAUCCGUAGCUGGUCUGAGAGGAUGAUCAGCCACACUGGAACUGAGACACGGUCCAGACUCCUACGGGAGGCAGCAGUGGGGAAUAUUGGACAAUGGGCGCAAGCCUGAUCCAGCCAUACCGCGUGGGUGAAGAAGGCCUUCGGGUUGUAAAGCCCUUUUGUUGGGAAAGAAAUCCAGCUGGCUAAUACCCGGUUGGGAUGACGGUACCCAAAGAAUAAGCACCGGCUAACUUCGUGCCAGCAGCCGCCGUAA
Molecule: ribosomal RNA, 506 nt
Filed under: uncultured bacterium
Lineage: Bacteria
Description: partial 16S ribosomal RNA
Rfam family: Bacterial small subunit ribosomal RNA
Source: RNAcentral